GGUCUCUUAGUUUAACGGUAAAACAGUAGAUCUUCACUUACUAACAGGAGUUCGAUUCUCCUAGAGAUCA
Molecule: transfer RNA, 70 nt
Filed under: Pseudozyma flocculosa
Lineage: Eukaryota; Fungi; Basidiomycota; Ustilaginomycetes; Ustilaginales; Ustilaginaceae
Rfam family: tRNA
About the family: Transfer RNA (tRNA) molecules are approximately 80 nucleotides in length. Their secondary structure includes four short double-helical elements and three loops (D, anti-codon, and T loops).
Source: Rfam by way of RNAcentral